RNAcentral lists this ribosomal RNA (468 nucleotides) under uncultured bacterium. RNAcentral's name for it is "partial 16S ribosomal RNA". It matches the Rfam family "Bacterial small subunit ribosomal RNA", at positions 28 to 507 of the family's 1533-position model. The record is from RNAcentral.
GACGAACGCUGGCGGCGUGCUUAACACAUGCAAGUCGAACGGAAAGGCCCUGCUUUUGUGAGGUGCUCGAGUGGCGAACGGGUGAGUAACACGUGAGUAACCUGCCCUUGACUUUGGGAUAACUUCAGGAAACUGGGGCUAAUACCGGAUAGGAGCUCCUGCUGCAUGGUGGGGGUUGGAAAGUUUCGGCGGUUGGGGAUGGACUCGCGGCUUAUCAGCUUGUUGGUGGGGUAGUGGCUUACCAAGGCUUUGACGGGUAGCCGGCCUGAGAGGGUGACCGGCCACAUUGGGCCUGAGAUACGGCCCAGACUCCUACGGGAGGCAGCAGUGGGGAAUAUUGCACAAUGGGCGGAAGCCUGAUGCAGCAACGCCGCGUGCGGGAUGACGGCCUUCGGGUUGUAAACCGCUUUCGCCUGUGACGAAGCGUGAGUGACGGUAAUGGGUAAAGAAGCACCGGCUAACUACGUG